AGUUUGAUCCUGGCUCAGAGCGAACGCUGGCGGCAGGCUUAACACAUGCAAGUCGAGCGGGCCCUUCGGGGUCAGCGGCGGACGGGUGAGUAAUACAUCGGAACGUGCCCGAUCGUGGGGGAUAACGGAGCGAAAGCUUUGCUAAUACCGCAUACGAUCUACGGAUGAAAGCAGGGGACCGCAAGGCCUUGCGCGGACGGAGCGGCCGAUGGCAGAUUAGGUAGUUGGUGGGAUAAAAGCUUACCAAGCCGACGAUCUGUAGCUGGUCUGAGAGGACGACCAGCCACACUGGGACUGAGACACGGCCCAGACUCCUACGGGAGGCAGCAGUGGGGAAUUUUGGACAAUGGGCGAAAGCCUGAUCCAGCCAUGCCGCGUGCAGGAUGAAGGCCUUCGGGUUGUAAACUGCUUUUGUACGGAACGAAAAGCCUCUUUCUAAUAAAGAGAGGUCAUGACGGUACCGUAAGAAUAAGCACCGGCUAACUACGUGCCAGCAGCCGCGGUAA
Molecule: ribosomal RNA, 506 nt
Filed under: uncultured bacterium
Lineage: Bacteria
Description: bacterial SSU rRNA
Rfam family: Bacterial small subunit ribosomal RNA
Source: RNAcentral